CAAUUGUUGAUUCAUAUCACAAUAUCAGUUGAAAUAAUAGAAGCAUUGGUUAUGCAGAUUAGAAGCAAACCUGGAAAGUUUUGGAUGGUUGAGUGCUGGGGAUUAAUUUUGUGUAAGAGAAGAAAAGCAAGCAAAUGAUCUCUGAGAACUCUAUGUUAACUUGAAUAGUGGGUACAAAUUUUUUCAAUUUACAAAUGUGUACAAAAUUCCAAAUACUCUGCAGUCCAUCUUGAAAAGCCAUUCUCCACCCAAAUUGCUAGAGUUACAAAUUUCCCACCAAGAACAUCAAUAUGCACAAAUCAAGUCCAAUGGUAUUGAUCUAUUGAUUUAUCUAACAAAAAACUGAAAAAAAAGGGUUCAUCAACAUCAGAGAAUUUUCUUCUUGUUUAGCCAUUAUGGUGAAAACCAGGUUGUGCAGCCUGUGUUGCAACUCUUAGCGUGCCUCCAAGCUCAACAGGAAUGAGUGGAACCAAGGAGUGUACAACAUCUAUUAUGAGUGGACGAUACGUUGGCUCUGGUUGCACACAGAGCACUGCCACCGCAGCAACCUGCACACAAAGAUUAAGCAAAACCCAAUUCCCACAUCAAUUAUUUAUUACCUAAGCAAGGUCUAACCAAACAAGCAAAUCUUCUUCUCUGAACACAACCACUCCUCUCCGAACUUUCCAAAAGUGUAGCAUACAUUAAUUAUAACCUUUAGUGCAAACCUCAACCACCACAAGCCAAAAAGAAUUUAUUGUUAAAAAAAAAAAAGAAUAAAUUCUAAGUUCAUUUAUUAACAAUGACUUGUAGUUAAGUUGAAAAACCUGGAAUAAGUACUUCUCAUCCACAGUAUCUUUUAUCACAGGAUCCACGAUGUUUGGAAGUGAAGCUCUGCUAGUGAGCUGAGGCAAGGCCUGCAAUUGAAAUAAGCUGAAGUAUUAAAUACUGGAUCACCCCAAGUUACAAAGAGGGGCUCAUACUGGAUCAGAAGACAUACCCAUGUUACAAUAGAUUGGCAAUGAGCUGGUGCCAGUUUUUCCACAGGCCGCCUUCCUAAUAGAAGUUCCAAAAGGACAACUCCAAAAGCAUAGACAUCACUCUUCUCUGUUAGCUCACCUAAAUUAUUUGAUAAAAAGAAUGAUAUUUCACCCCAAAUAAAGAGUAAUAUCAAUUUGGAAAAUCCAGCAAUUUUUAGAUAUUCAAGUAGAAGGUGGAAAAAAGCUAACAAGUUUUAGUUGAGUGAUAAUGAAGCUAGAGACGAUAUUAAAAAUGUAAGGUCUCGAGUUUGAGUAUCAAUUGAAAGAGGAGAGUUCUGGGCAUAUAUAUGGUUGUUAGGAUUAAAGAAAAGAAAAUGAUAAGUGCAGAUGCUAGGCAAUGGCAGUACAUGUGGACUGAAGACAGCUUGGUCUCGGAGAAUGCCAAUUAUAUAAUUAUCAAUGUCAUCAGAUCCUAAUAAAAUAUUGCACAAGUCAUCAAAUUAUGUUGCAUCUAGUUCGGUAAGGGAAAUAUUUUCUCUAUGAUAGUUAAGUACUAAAAUAUUAAUACAACUAUCUAACCAAAUGAGAAUUAUCAAUGAAAUGCUUCACCUAAAGUCAGAAUUAACCAAAUAACAAAGUUUAGUUAGCAAUAGCAUACCAUCCAACAUAUACUCUGGGGCUACAUAACCCACAGUGCCUGAAAGCUUGAGCUUGUUCCUAUUCUGGGAGCUAUCAGCUACAGCAAGACCAAAAUCCGAUAGCUGAAACAAGACAAUAGAUAGAGAGGAGGAGGAGGGCAGUGAACUUGAUAAAACAAUAAUAAUAAAUAGUGGCAAUAGUUGAAUGGCAAGUGUAUUUUAGAUAGAUAGCAUAGAAGAGAUGAUAAUUCUGUACUCUUUUUACCUUGGCAUUGAAGUUAGAAUCCAAAAGUAUAUUAGAUGAUUUCAGAUCUCUAUGGAUCACUACUGGCUUGCAGAACUCAUGCAUAUAUUCUAAUCCUCUUGCUAUAUCAAGAGCAAUUUUCAAUCGCAUGUGCCAACUUAAUGAAGAUCCACGAGAAGCUCCUAUAACCUUUUUCAGCUCUUCAACUCUAUAUUCAAGCUUUGAUUAUUUCUGAGACAAAGCAGCAGCGCAUAGAUAUAGCUGAUGAACAAAGGAAUACAUGGCGUUGCCUUUCUGGGGCGCUGUUGAUCGCAGAUGCAGCCAUGGAAAAUGACACUGAAACAAGAUUGAAAACUCUUUCUUGACUAAACCUAGUUCUUCCAAAGGCAAGAGUAGAAGAGGUAUAUUAAAAUAAAAAGCAAGAAAGUUGAUUUUUGUAAACGCAAAUUAAAUAACUUUAGUGUUACACUAAAACUGCUCGUUUGCUGUUAUAAGAGUAAAUUACAAAAUAAAUAAUGUAAAUGGAGAGGGGAACUGUGACAAAACAUAGCAAGUGCGAGUAAUUUCAAACCCAGCAUGGUUUUAGGAGCUUAAUGGGAAUGAAAGGAUUAGUUACCUUUCAAUCCAAAGGUGUUAAAAUAUUGGAAAACAAGCUUACCUUGCUGUUUAAAGAGCAAUUUU
This 2522-nucleotide unclassified non-coding RNA is filed under the name Hevea brasiliensis (rubber tree). The record is from RNAcentral. Lineage: Eukaryota; Viridiplantae; Streptophyta; Magnoliopsida; Malpighiales; Euphorbiaceae.